CGUUUGAGGGGUACCUGCGGAGGGAUCAUUACACAACAAAAAUAUGAGGGUGUGGUUUGCUGGCAACAGCGUCCGCCCCAAGUAUUUUUCACCCAUGUCUUUUGCGCACUUUUUGUUUCCUGGGCGAGUUCGCUCGCCACCAGGACCCAACCAUAAACCUUUUUUUAUGCAGUUGCAAUCAGCGUCAGUAUAAUAAUUCAAUUUAUUAAAACUUUCAACAACGGAUCUCUUGGUUCUGGCAUCGAUGAAGAACGCAGCGAAAUGCGAUACGUAGUGUGAAUUGCAGAAUUCAGUGAAUCAUCGAAUCUUUGAACGCACAUUGCGCCCUUUGGUAUUCCAAAGGGCAUGCCUGUUCGAGCGUCAUUUGUACCCUCAAGCUUUGCUUGGUGUUGGGCGUCUUUUUGUCUCUCCCCUUGUUGGGGGAGACUCGCCUUAAAACGAUUGGCAGCCGACCUACUGGUUUUCGGAGCGCAGCACAAAUUUGCGCCUUCCAAUCCACGGGGCGGCAUCCAGCAAGCCUUUGUUUUCUAUAACAAAUCCACAUUUUGACCUCGGAUCAGGUAGGGAUACCCGCUGAACUUAAGCAUAUCAAAAC
RNAcentral lists this ribosomal RNA (595 nucleotides) under Exserohilum rostratum. RNAcentral describes it as "eukaryotic LSU rRNA". The stretch from base 210 to 363 matches the Rfam family "5.8S ribosomal RNA". The record is from RNAcentral. Lineage: Eukaryota; Fungi; Ascomycota; Dothideomycetes; Pleosporales; Pleosporaceae.